RNAcentral lists this ribosomal RNA (253 nucleotides) under uncultured bacterium. Its description in RNAcentral is "partial 16S ribosomal RNA". It matches the Rfam family "Bacterial small subunit ribosomal RNA", at positions 524 to 776 of the family's 1533-position model. The record is from RNAcentral.
UACAGAGGGUGCAAGCGUUAAUCGGAAUUACUGGGCGUAAAGCGUGCGUAGACGGUUAUUUAAGUCAGGUGUGAAAGCCCAGGGCUCAACCUUGGAAUUGCAUUUGAGACUGAAUAGCUAGGGUGCGGAAGAGGGAAGCGGAAUUUCCGGUGUAGCGGUGAAAUGCGUAGAUAUCGGGAGGAACACCAGUGGCGAAGGCGGCUUCCUGGCCUGUUCUUGACGCUGAGGCGCGAAAGCUAGGGGAGCAAACGGG